UUCCAGACUCCUACGGGAGGCAGCAGUGAGGAAUAUUGGUCAAUGGCCGGAAGGCUGAACCAGCCAAGCCGCGUGAGGGAGGAAGGCGCAGAGCGUCGCAGACCUCUUUUGCCGGGGGACAAAAGGCCGGACCCGUCCGGUCCUGAGGGUACCCGGAGAAAAAGCAUCGGCUAACUCCGUGCCAGCAGCCGCGGUAAUACGGAGGAUGCGAGCGUUAUCCGGAUUUAUUGGGUUUAAAGGGUGCGCAGGCGGCACGGCAAGCCGGCGGUCAAAUCGCGGGGCUCAACCCCGCCCAGCCGUCGGAACUGCCGGGCUAGAGUGGGCGAGAAGUGCGCGGAAUGCGUGGUGUAGCGGUGAAAUGCAUAGAUAUCACGCAGAACUCCGAUUGCGAAGGCAGCAUACCGGCGCCCAACUGACGCUGAAGCACGAAAGCGUGGGUAUCGAACAGGAUUAGAUACCCGAGUA
Molecule: ribosomal RNA, 465 nt
Filed under: uncultured bacterium
Lineage: Bacteria
Description: bacterial SSU rRNA
Rfam family: Bacterial small subunit ribosomal RNA
Source: RNAcentral